This 257-nucleotide ribosomal RNA is filed under the name uncultured bacterium. Its description in RNAcentral is "partial 16S ribosomal RNA". It matches the Rfam family "Bacterial small subunit ribosomal RNA", at positions 793 to 1050 of the family's 1533-position model. The record is from RNAcentral.
GUCCUAGCCAUAAACGAUGGAUACUGGAUGUGGAGCAUCAUAUGCUCUGUGUCGAAGCUAACGCGUUAAGUAUCCCGCCUGGGGAGUACGACCGCAAGGUUGAAACUUAAAGGAAUUGACGGGGACCCGCACAAGCGGUGGAGCAUGUGGUUUAAUUCGACGAUACGCGAAAAACCUUACCAGAUCUUGACAUUCUAAAGAAAUGUGCAGAAAUGUACAUGUCUCUUCGGAGACUUUAGAACAGGUGGUGCAUGGCC